GACGAACGCUGGCGGCGUGCUUAACACAUGCAAGUCGAACGGAAAGGCCCUGCUUUUGUGGGGUGCUCGAGUGGCGAACGGGUGCGUAACACGUGAGUAACCUGCCCUUGACUUUGGGAUAACUUCAGGAAACUGGGGCUAAUCCCGGAUAGCAGAUCCUGCUGCAUGGUGGGGGUUGGAAAGUUUCGGCGGUUGGGGAUGGACUCGCGGCUUAUCAGCUUGUUGGUGGGGUAGUGGCUUACCCAGGCUGUGAAGGGUAGCCGGCCUGAGAGGGUGGCCGGGCACAUUGGGACUGAGAGACGGCCCAGACGCCAACGGGAGGCAGCAGUGGGGAAUAUUGUACAAUGGGCGGAAGUGUGAUGCAGCAACGCCGCGUUCGGGAUGACGGCCUUCGGGGUGUAAACCGCUGUCGCCUGUGACGAAGCGGGAGUGACGGUAAUGGGUAAAGAAGCACCGGCUAACUACGUG
This 468-nucleotide ribosomal RNA is filed under the name uncultured bacterium. RNAcentral's name for it is "partial 16S ribosomal RNA". It matches the Rfam family "Bacterial small subunit ribosomal RNA", at positions 28 to 507 of the family's 1533-position model. The record is from RNAcentral.